UGUCUUUUUGAUAAUAAUUUAAAGUCUAAUCUGCCCAUUGAGGAAUUAAAAGGCCGCAGUAUUUUGACUGUGCAAAGGUAGCAUAAUAAUUAGUUUCUUAAUUAGAAGCUGGUAUGAAUGAUUGGAUGAGAAAAUAACUGUCUCAAAUAAAAUUUUUUAGAAUUUUAUAUUUAAGUAAAAAAGCUUAAAUAUUAUUAAAAGACGAGAAGACCCUAUAGAGUUUAAUAAUUUUGUUUAGAAUUAAAAUUUAGAUUUAAUAUUUUUUCUUUAAUAAAAUUAUUUUGUUGGGGUGACAAGAAAAUUAAAUUAACUUUUCUUUAUUUAUAUACAAAUAAGUAAGUUUAUGAUCCAAUAUUAUUGAUUAAAAGAUUAAAUUACCUUAGGGAUAACAGCGUAAUUUUAUUUAAGAGUUCUUAUCGADAAAUAAAGAUUGCGACCUCGAUGUUGGAUUAAAGUUAAAUUUUGGUGUAGAAGCUAAAAUUUUAGGUCUGUUCGACCUUUAAAUCUUU
RNAcentral lists this ribosomal RNA (509 nucleotides) under Priocera castanea. RNAcentral's name for it is "partial 16S ribosomal RNA". It matches the Rfam family "Archaeal large subunit ribosomal RNA", at positions 1919 to 2668 of the family's 2987-position model. The record is from RNAcentral. Lineage: Eukaryota; Metazoa; Arthropoda; Insecta; Coleoptera; Cleridae.